RNAcentral lists this ribosomal RNA (425 nucleotides) under uncultured bacterium. RNAcentral's name for it is "partial 16S ribosomal RNA". It matches the Rfam family "Bacterial small subunit ribosomal RNA", at positions 354 to 796 of the family's 1533-position model. The record is from RNAcentral.
GUGGGGAAUCUUGCGCAAUGGGCGAAAGCCUGACGCAGCCAUGCCGCGUGAAUGAUGAAGGUCUUAGGAUUGUAAAAUUCUUUCACCGGGGACGAUAAUGACGGUACCCGGAGAAGAAGCUCCGGCUAACUUCGUGCCAGCAGCCGCGGUAAUACGAAGAGGGCUAGCGUUGCUCGGAAUUACUGGGCGUAAAGGGCGCGUAGGCGGCCUGGUAAGUCUGGAGUGAAAGUCCUGCUUUUAAGGUGGGAAUUGCUUUGGAUACUGUCGGGCUUGAGUGCAGGAGAGGUAAGCGGAAUUCCCGGUGUAGCGGUGAAAUGCGUAGAGAUCGGGAGGAACACCAGUGGCGAAGGCGGCUUACUGGACUGUAACUGACGCUGAGGCGCGAAAGUGUGGGGAGCAAACAGGAUUAGAUACCCUGGUAGUCC